GACGAACGCUGGCGGCGUGCUUAACACAUGCAAGUCGAACGGAAAGGCCCUGCUUUUGUGGGGUGCUCGAGUGGCGAACGGGUGAGUAACACGUGAGUAACCUGCCCUUGACUUUGGGAUAACUUCAGGAAACUGGGGCUAAUACCGGAUAGGAGCUCCUGCUGCAUGGUGGGGGUUGGAAAGUUUCGGCGGUUGGGGAUGGACUCGCGGCUUAUCAGCUUGUUGGUGGGGUAGUGGCUUACCAAGGCUUUGACGGGUAGCCGGCCUGAGAGGGUGACCGGCCACAUUGGGACUGAGAUACGGCCCAGACUCCUACGGGAGGCAGCAGUGGGGAAUAUUGCACAAUGGGCGGAAGCCUGAUGCAGCAACGCCGCGUGCGGGAUGACGGCCUUCGGGUUGUAAACCGCUUUCGCCUGUGACGAAGCGUGAGUGACGGUAAUGGGUAAAGAAGCACCGGCUAACUACGUGCCAGCAGCCGCGGUGAUACGUAGGGUGCGAGCGUUGUCCGGAUUUAUUGGGCAUAAAGGGCUCGUAGGUGGUUGAUCGCGUCGGAAGUGUAAUCUUGGGGCUUAACCCUGAGCGUGCUUUCGAUACGGGUUGACUUGAGGAAGGUAGGGGAGAAUGGAAUUCCUGGUGGAGCGGUGGAAUGCGCAGAUAUCAGGAGGAACACCAGUGGCGAAGGCGGUUCUCUGGGCCUUUCCUGACGCUGAGGAGCGAAAGCGUGGGGAGCGAACAGGCUUAGAUACCCUGGUAGUCCACGCUGUAAACGGUGGGUACUAGGUGUGGGGUCCAUUCCACGGGUUCCGUGCCGUAGCUAACGCUUUAAGUACCCCGCCUGGGGAGUACGGCCGCAAGGCUAAAACUCAAAGGAAUUGACGGGGCCCCGCACAAGCGGCGGAGCAUGCGGAUUAAUUCGAUGCAACGCGUAGAACCUUACCUGGGUUUGACAUGGAUCGGGAGCGCUCAGAGAUGGGUGUGCCUCUUUUGGGGUCGGUUCACAGGUGGUGCAUGGCUGUCGUCAGCUCGUGUCGUGAGAUGUUGGGUUAAGUCCCGCAACGAGCGCAACCCUUGUUCACUGUUGCCAGCACGUUAUGGUGGGGACUCAGUGGAGACCGCCGGGGUCAACUCGGAGGAAGGUGGGGAUGACGUCAAGUCAUCAUGCCCCUUAUGUCCAGGGCUUCACGCAUGCUACAAUGGCUGGUACAGAGAGUGGCGAGCCUGUGAAGGUGAGCGAAUCUCGGAAAGCCGGUCUCAGUUCGGAUUGGGGUCUGCAACUCGACCUCAUGAAGUCGGAGUCGCUAGUAAUCGCAGAUCAGCAACGCUGCGGUGAAUACGUUCCCGGG
RNAcentral lists this ribosomal RNA (1343 nucleotides) under uncultured bacterium. RNAcentral describes it as "16S ribosomal RNA". It matches the Rfam family "Bacterial small subunit ribosomal RNA", at positions 28 to 1378 of the family's 1533-position model. The record is from RNAcentral.